This 482-nucleotide ribosomal RNA is filed under the name uncultured bacterium. RNAcentral describes it as "partial 16S ribosomal RNA". It matches the Rfam family "Bacterial small subunit ribosomal RNA", at positions 30 to 507 of the family's 1533-position model. The record is from RNAcentral.
AUUGAACGCUGGCGGCAUGCCUUACACAUGCAAGUCGAACGGUAACGGGCCUUCGGGUGCCGCCGAGUGGCGAACGGGUGAGUAAUACAUCGGAACGUGCCCGAUCGUGGGGGAUAACGAGGCGAAAGCUUUGCUAAUACCGCAUACGAUCUACGGAUGAAAGCAGGGGACCGCAAGGCCUUGCGCGGACGGAGCGGCCGAUGGCAGAUUAGGUAGUUGGUGGGAUAAAAGCUUACCAAGCCGACGAUCUGUAGCUGGUCUGAGAGGAUGAUCAGCCACACUGGGACCGAGACACGGCCCAGACUCCUACGGGAGGCAGCAGUGGGGAAUUUUGGACAAUGGGCGCAAGCCUGAUCCAGCCAUGCCGCGUGCAGGAUGAAGGCCUUCGGGUUGUAAACUGCUUUUGUACGGAACGAAAAGCCUUCUUUUAAUACAGGAGGGUCAUGACGGUACCGUAAGAAUAAGCACCGGCUAACUACGUG